UGUAGUAUAACUCAGUGGUAAAGUGCUUACCUACCAUGAAUAAGGCCCUGAGUUCAAUCCCUAGUAUCACAA
Molecule: transfer RNA, 72 nt
Filed under: Marmota marmota marmota (Alpine marmot)
Lineage: Eukaryota; Metazoa; Chordata; Mammalia; Rodentia; Sciuridae
Also listed under: 1 other name
Rfam family: tRNA
About the family: Transfer RNA (tRNA) molecules are approximately 80 nucleotides in length. Their secondary structure includes four short double-helical elements and three loops (D, anti-codon, and T loops).
Source: Rfam by way of RNAcentral